Molecule: small nucleolar RNA, 82 nt
Organism: Cryptomeria japonica (Japanese cedar)
Lineage: Eukaryota; Viridiplantae; Streptophyta; Pinopsida; Cupressales; Cupressaceae
Product: small nucleolar RNA SNORD24
Exons: 1
Source: RefSeq, a predicted model, not a curated record
GGCCAAUGAUGUGAGACAAUAUUUGCUACUCUUGAUGCCUCGGGGCACCUGAUGAUAGCUGACCACCAAGAUCUCUGAGGUC